RNAcentral lists this ribosomal RNA (253 nucleotides) under uncultured bacterium. Its description in RNAcentral is "partial 16S ribosomal RNA". It matches the Rfam family "Bacterial small subunit ribosomal RNA", at positions 524 to 776 of the family's 1533-position model. The record is from RNAcentral.
UACGUAGGGUGCAGGCGUUAAUCGGAAUUACUGGGCGUAAAGCGCACGUAGGCGGAUUUGUAAGUCAGGGGUGAAAUCCCGGGGCUCAACCUCGGAACUGCCUUUGAUACUGCAAGUCUCGAGUCCGAUAGAGGUGAGUGGAAUUCCUAGUGUAGAGGUGAAAUUCGUAGAUAUUAGGAAGAACACCAGUGGCGAAGGCAGCCCCCUGGUAUAGAACUGACGCUGAGGCACGAAAGCGUGGGUAGCAAACAGG